This 257-nucleotide long non-coding RNA is filed under the name Lathyrus oleraceus (garden pea). RNAcentral's name for it is "Pisum sativum (pea) long non-coding RNA (PSAT_LNC007239)". The record is from RNAcentral. Lineage: Eukaryota; Viridiplantae; Streptophyta; Magnoliopsida; Fabales; Fabaceae.
CAAAGUGUCCUAGGUACUCCUAGGGAGCCCUUUUUUGUGUGCAUUUGUAUUUUGUGCAAAAUGAUGUUUACAAACAAAUAGAAUGAGGGGAUGAGAGAAGAAUUGAUUAAUUAUAUUUUUGUGUUUGACAAGACCUUCGGUCUUCUGCCUACGUACCAACAUAAAAAUGAGGGAUCAAAACCUCGUAGUUCGUGCUAUAAAUUUCAAAGUGAGUAUGUUGGUUUUAACAAAAUUUAAGCUUGAAAGACACAAAUGCC